Long non-coding RNA from Colossoma macropomum (tambaqui), 1515 nucleotides. RefSeq lists it as uncharacterized. NCBI's taxonomy places the organism in Eukaryota, Metazoa, Chordata, Actinopteri, Characiformes, Serrasalmidae. The record is from RefSeq and is a predicted model, not a curated record. The transcript has 3 exons.
GUUUCACCUGUGUGUUUUAGUCAUAUGACUAAUUUAGUAUAUUAGCCCGGGGUUUAGCUUAGGAUCCUUGUGAGAAUGCCUCGCCUGCCAUGCAGAUGGCGGAUUCGGAAGCUUUCCAGAAAGUGUUAUCAGAGCAAGGGCAGCUAUUGGGCAGACACCAGCAUGUGUUAUCCAGAGUAACACAUUCUCUGGAAACCCUAGCACAACAACAAGUGGAACAGCAGGCUCAGUUAGCCCAACUGGUGGCUAACGUGAAGGGACAGACUGGGCAGCUUCAAGCUAUGAGCUUCACGAAGACCACGACCACCACCGGAUUCCAAACUGCUGCUGAGGACAACACUCAAAACAUUUUUCCGCCCUGAUCGACUCCGGAGCCAAAGGGAACUUCAUCAGCGCCCACCUGGUGGAACAACCACAGGUCCCAGUACAGAAGUUCCCGACGGUAUUGAAAGUAGCAGCACUAGAUGGAGGACCAGUGAGGAUGGGCACCUUUUCCGGAGUCACAAAACCCAUAGAAUUGCAGACGGGUGCCCUUCACAAAGAAAAGAUUUCCCUGUUAGUAUUGGAACAGUCAGAGUUUGAACUGAUCUUGGGCCUUCCUUGGUUAGAGAAACAUAAUCCUACUAUCUCAUGGACUGAUCAUACUAUAACUAAGUGGUCAGAUUAUUGUUUCCAGUCCUGUCUUCACACUCCUGUUUCCAUUUCCUCCACAUCUAUUGAAAGUCCCAAUGCUGACGCCUCCUUUGUUAUUCCUCCCGAGUACUUGGUCUUGAAAGAAGUGUUUAAUAAACAAAAGGCCACAGAACUGCCCCCACACUGAGACUAUGAUUGUUCCAUUGAACUAGUUGAAGACCCAGUUUUCCCCAAAGCUCAUGUCUAUCCCUUAACCCAAGAGGAACAGGAAGCCCUAGAUAUUUACAUUAAAGAGGCCCUACAGCAAGGGUUCAUUCGACCCUCCACUUCACUGAUAGCUUCCAGUUUUUCUUUAUUAAAAAGAAGGAUGGCGGUCUACGCCCUUGCAUAGACUACAGAGCCCUAAACCAAAUCUCAAAACCAUACCCUUAUCCACUUCCGUUAGUCCCCGUAUCAUUAGAGCAAUUGCAAGGCGCUAAGUACUUCACCAAGCUAGAUCUCCGUAGUGCUUAUAAUCUCAUUCGUAUUAAGAAAGGGGAUGAGUGGAAGACUGCCUUUGUGACCACCAGGGAGCACUAUGAGUAUCAGGUGAUGCCCUUCGGGCUCUCUAUCGACCCCUCAGUAUUCCAAGCAUUCAUAAAUGACGUCCUUAGAGAUAUGCUUGGGCAAUAUGUGAUCACAUAUCUAGACGAUAUCCUAGUAUAUUCUCCCAACCUGGACCUCCGUGUUCAACAUGUCCGAGCGGUACUUCAGCGUUUACUUGAUCACAAUUUGUUCUUAAAAGGAGAAAAAUGUGAGUUUCACCUACAAACCGUAGCAUUCCUAGGUUACAUCAUAAGCCCACAAGGUGUUACCAUGGAUGACCACAAGGUGGAAGCAGUU